AGAGUUUGAUCCUGGCUCAGGACGAACGCUGGCGGCGUGCUUAACACAUGCAAGUCGAGCGGAAAGGCCUUUCGGGGUACUCGAGCGGCGAACGGGUGAGUAACACGUGAGCAAUCUGCCUUUCACUCUGGGAUAACCCUCGGAAACGGGGGCUAAUACUGGAUAUUACUUCUGGUCGCAUGGCUGGUUGUGGAAAGUUUUUCGGUGGAAGAUGAGCUCGCGGCCUAUCAGCUUGUUGGUGGGGUGAUGGCCUACCAAGGCUUCGACGGGUAGCCGGCCUGAGAGGGCGACCGGCCACACUGGGACUGAGACACGGCCCAGACUCCUACGGGAGGCAGCAGUGGGGAAUAUUGCACAAUGGGCGGAAGCCUGAUGCAGCGACGCCGCGUGAGGGAUGACGGCCUUCGGGUUGUAAACCUCUUUCAGCAGGGACGAAGCGUGAGUGACGGUACCUGCAGAAGAAGCGCCGGCCAACUACGUGCCAGCAGCCGCGGUAAUAC
Molecule: ribosomal RNA, 500 nt
Filed under: uncultured bacterium
Lineage: Bacteria
Description: bacterial SSU rRNA
Rfam family: Bacterial small subunit ribosomal RNA
Source: RNAcentral